RNAcentral lists this ribosomal RNA (835 nucleotides) under uncultured Planctomycetota bacterium. RNAcentral describes it as "bacterial SSU rRNA". It matches the Rfam family "Bacterial small subunit ribosomal RNA", at positions 46 to 832 of the family's 1533-position model. Lineage: Bacteria; Pseudomonadati; Planctomycetota. The record is from RNAcentral.
GGAUUAGGCAUGCAAGUCGAACGAGGGAGUAUUCCGAAAGGGGUACAAACCGAGUGGCGUAAGGGUGAGUAAUGCAUUGAUAACCUGCCUUUGAGAUGGGAACAACAGCGUUCCAGCAAUUGGAGCUACCGAAAGGGCUGCUAAUACCCAAUAAAACUAUUAUUGCUUGGUGAUGAUAGUCAAACGUGCGGAAUCGAAAGGUUCCAUUUGCUCAAAGAGGGGUCAAUGUCCUAUCAGCUUGUUGGUGGGGUAAUGGCCUACCAAGGCGAAGACGGGUAGCCGGCCUGAGAGGGUGGUCGGCCACACUGGGACUGAGACACUGCCCAGACUCCUACGGGAGGCUGCAGUCGAGAAUCUUUCGCAAUGCCCGAAAGGGUGACGAAGCGACGCCGCGUGCGGGAAGAAGGCCUUCGGGUUGUAAACCGCUGUCGGGAGUUAGGAAGUGCAAGGAUGUUAAUAGCGUUCUUGCUUGACUAGGCUCCGAGGAAGCACGGCUAACUCUGUGCCAGCAGCCGCGGUAAUACAGAGGCGUGCGAAGCGUUGUUCGGAAUUAUUGGGCGUAAAGAGCACGUAGGCGGCUGUGAUAAGUCAGGUUGUGAAAGCCUUCCGCUUAACGGAAGAACGGCAUCCGAUACUGUCAUAGCUUGAGUACAGGAGGGGAGAGUGGAAUUCCUGGUGGAGCGGUGAAAUGCGUAGAUAUCAGAAGGAACGCCGGCGGCGAAAGGACUCUCUGGUCCGUAACUGACGCUGAGUGUGCGAAAGCUAGGGGAGCAAACGGGAUUAGAUACCCCGGUAGUCCUAGCCGUAAGCGAUGGGCACUAAGUAGAGGGGUUUU